RNAcentral lists this transfer RNA (68 nucleotides) under Marmota monax (woodchuck). Its description in RNAcentral is "tRNA.Ala". The record is from RNAcentral. Lineage: Eukaryota; Metazoa; Chordata; Mammalia; Rodentia; Sciuridae.
GGUGUGUAACUCAGUGGUAGAACACUUGCCUAGCAUGCACAAGGCCCUGGGUUCCAUCCCCAGCACCA